RNAcentral lists this ribosomal RNA (300 nucleotides) under uncultured bacterium. RNAcentral's name for it is "bacterial SSU rRNA". It matches the Rfam family "Bacterial small subunit ribosomal RNA", at positions 775 to 1067 of the family's 1533-position model. The record is from RNAcentral.
GGAUUAGAUACCCUGGUAGUCCUAGCUGUAAACGAUGGAUACUAGACGUAGGAACUGGAUUGACGGUUUCUGUGUCGUAGCUAACGCGUUAAGCACACCGCCUGGGGAGUACGGUCGCAAGAUUAAAACUCAAAGGAAUUGACGGGGGCCCGCACAAGCGGUGGAGCAUGUGGUUUAAUUCGACGCAACGCGCAGAACCUUACCAGCCCUUGACAUGGGGAUCGCGAGGAGUGGAGACACACCUCUUCAGUUCGGCUGGAUCCCACACAGGUGCUGCAUGGCUGUCGUCAGCUCGUGCCG